This 253-nucleotide ribosomal RNA is filed under the name uncultured bacterium. Its description in RNAcentral is "partial 16S ribosomal RNA". It matches the Rfam family "Bacterial small subunit ribosomal RNA", at positions 524 to 776 of the family's 1533-position model. The record is from RNAcentral.
UACGGAGGGUGCAAGCGUUAUCCGGAUUCACUGGGUUUAAAGGGUGCGUAGGUGGGCAAGUAAGUCAGUGGUGAAAUCUCCGGGCUUAACCCGGAAACUGCCAUUGAUACUAUUUGUCUUGAAUACUGUGGAGGUCAGCGGAAUAUGUCAUGUAGCGGUGAAAUGCUUAGAUAUGACAUAGAAAACCAAUUGCGAAGGCAGCUGGCUACACAAAUAUUGACACUGAGGCACGAAAGCGUGGGGAUCAAACAGG